UCUCCGUAGGUGAACCUGCGGAGGGAUCAUUACUGAGUGAGGGCUUCGGUCCGACCUCCAACCCUUUGUGAACCACACUUGUUGCUUCGGGGGCGACCCUGCCGCUUCGGCGGUGCGGCGCCCCCGGAGGCCAUUAAACACUGCAUCAUUGCGUCGGAGUUAAAGUAAAUUAAACAUAACUUUCAACCGCGGAUCUCUUGGUUCCAGCAUCGAUGAAGAACGCUGC
Molecule: unclassified non-coding RNA, 226 nt
Filed under: uncultured fungus
Lineage: Eukaryota; Fungi
Description: sequence contains ITS1, 5.8S rRNA gene
Rfam family: 5.8S ribosomal RNA (bases 178-226)
Source: RNAcentral